AGUGAACGCUGGCGGUAGGCCUAACACAUGCAAGUCGAACGGCAGCACAGUAAGAGCUUGCUCUUACGGGUGGCGAGUGGCGGACGGGUGAGGAAUACAUCGGAAUCUACUUUUUCGUGGGGGAUAACGUAGGGAAACUUACGCUAAUACCGCAUACGACCUACGGGUGAAAGCAGGGGAUCUUCGGACCUUGCGCGAUUGAAUGAGCCGAUGUCGGAUUAGCUAGUUGGCGGGGUAAAGGCCCACCAAGGCGACGAUCCGUGGCUGGUCUGAGAGGAUGAUCAGCCACACUGGAACUGAGACACGGUCCAGACUCCUACGGGAGGCAGCAGUGGGGAAUAUUGGACAAUGGGCGCAAGCCUGAUCCAGCCAUACCGCGUGGGUGAAGAGGGCCUUCGGGUUGUAAAGCCCUUUUGUUGGGAAAGAAAAGCAGCAGGUUAAUACCCCGCUGUUCUGACGGUACCCAAAGAAUAAGCACCGGCUAACUUCGUG
RNAcentral lists this ribosomal RNA (492 nucleotides) under uncultured bacterium. Its description in RNAcentral is "partial 16S ribosomal RNA". It matches the Rfam family "Bacterial small subunit ribosomal RNA", at positions 29 to 507 of the family's 1533-position model. The record is from RNAcentral.